UACUUUCAGAACAUGUUUCAAGGAAGACGUGGCUGAAGAGUGGAUAUUCAGUGGAAAUAAGAGUGAUCAGUAUACUGCCUGCAAUUGCACACUCAGUGGAGAGACUUGUCCAAAGCUGAACUUUUCACCACCUCACAAGAGAACAUUCUCUUCCCGAACAAUAUAUAACCUUACUGGACAUGAUGUAGAAACUUACCUUCUAGUUACUGCCAGAGAUUUUGUUCAAAAGAGAUAUGGUGGAUGGAGUUUUGGGCUGCCCUUGCCUAGUAAUCUCCGAUUUGAUAUAAGCCCUGUACCUGCUAACAGAACAGUAACUAAGGU
This is a non-coding RNA of Notechis scutatus (mainland tiger snake), 321 nucleotides long. NCBI's taxonomy places the organism in Eukaryota, Metazoa, Chordata, Lepidosauria, Squamata, Elapidae. The record is from RefSeq and is a predicted model, not a curated record.